GGUUUUGUGAAGGGAGUUUUCCUCUCGCUCAGAAGCCUCUGCCGUGUGCUGCACUACAACCACGUUUUCUGCCUCUUGCUGAGCCAAGUUCAUUAGCCUCAGUGGGUGAGGAGCUUCAGAAUAAGAUAGAAGCCACAGUGGGCAGUAAUUAAUGCAGAGACUCACAACUGGCUCCUGAGGAUACGUGACCAUUGAGUGCUCAGCUGCAGAGGGUACACAUAUAUCAAUUCCCCACCUCAAGGCUCAGGGAGAGCAUGGGAAGAAUGGAGGAGCUGGAGGAGGAGUGCUGAGAAAUGCUAUUCUUUGGAUAUGACACGGCUAUUGCACACAUGGACUCACAAUAGCUGUGGUUCCCUGCACACCCCCUGUAGAAGAUCAAGCCUGUUACAAAUUCCAAACUGGAAGGAAGAGGGGACACUGAUGCCACGACCUGAACUCCAACACUAUUGGCAGUUGGGAGCUGCUGGGUGAAUGAAAGUCACCUUUCUUUAGGUUGGUCACUAGAAAGUAGCCCAUAUAAUAACUCCACAACAAAGCACAAAUGAACAGC
Molecule: long non-coding RNA, 550 nt
Filed under: Rattus norvegicus (Norway rat)
Lineage: Eukaryota; Metazoa; Chordata; Mammalia; Rodentia; Muridae
Description: long non-coding RNA NONRATT030956
Source: RNAcentral